UGCUCAGCUUGAAAAAUGGGGCCUUCGGCUUUGAAUUGUAAUUUUGAAAUGUAUUGCCAAUGGAGGCGCAGGUGCAAGCCUAUUGAAAGAAAGCGUCAAUGAGGGUGAGAUUCCUUUUUGUCAUUUGCAGUCCUCCGUGCACGGUAUAUAUUUGACGAGUCACACUCCUCGGCAUUGGAAUGCAAAGUGGGUGGUAAAUUCCAUGUAAAGGUAAAUAUAUUAUUGAGACUGAUAGCAAACAAGUACCAUGAGGGAAAUAUGAAAAGGACUUUGAAAAGAGAAUUAAAAGAGUCUGCAUUUGCUGAACAGAAAGCAAACAGAAUUGAUCUUACUUGGUGAGAUUGUUGUGCCCACUUUAGCAUUUAUAUGUUGGAUGUGGGUGCGAUGGUUCUUGCCUUGAAUGUCAGCUUCUAUUUCUGCAAAUCAUUACCCUUGCACGUGAAUGGUAAUUUGCCUGUGGGUAUUGGAAUGCAUGUGUUUGCAAUGAUUUGUGAUUUGAUAUGUGUGAUUGGUGCUACUUGCGUGUUGCUCCUUUGUCAACGGGGAAGGCUGUCUUCCUUGAGCCCGCAAGCCCAAACACCUUACUGCUGGCAAAAUGUUUCUGCUUGACCCGUCUUGAAACACGGACCAAGGGAGUCUAACAGAUGUGCAAGUUCGUGRGUGGGCAAACCUUUUAGCGCAAUGAAAGUAUUGGCUGGGAUACUUGCACCAGCAGCCGACCGAUUAGCAGACAGAGGUUUGAGUUUGAGCAUAUCUAUUAGGACCCGAAAGAUGGUGAACUAUGCCUGAACAGAAUGAAUUCAGAGGAAACUCUGAUGGAGGUUCGUAUCGAUACUGACGUGCAAAUCGUUCGUCAUACUUGGGUAUAGGGGCGAAAGACUAAUCGAACCAUCUAGUAGCUGGUUCCCUCCGAAGUUUCCCUCAGGAUAGCUGGAGUUGCACAGUUUUAUCAGGUAAAGCGAAUGAUUAGAGGAAUUGGGGACACGCUGUCCUUGACCUAUUCUCAAACUUUAAAUGGGUAAGAUGCAAUGGUUGCUUUAUUGAACUUUUGGAAUAAAUGGCAAUAUCAGGUGGGCCAUUUUUGGUAAGCAGAACUGGCGAUGAGGGAUGAACCUAACGUUGGGUUAAGGUGCUUAAUUGCUUGCUCAUUAGAUACCAGAAAGGGUGUUGGUUCAUUUUAACAGCAGGACGU
RNAcentral lists this ribosomal RNA (1192 nucleotides) under Alexandrium insuetum. RNAcentral's name for it is "eukaryotic LSU rRNA". It matches the Rfam family "Eukaryotic large subunit ribosomal RNA", at positions 106 to 1248 of the family's 3401-position model. Lineage: Eukaryota; Dinophyceae; Gonyaulacales; Pyrocystaceae. The record is from RNAcentral.